Molecule: non-coding RNA, 93 nt
Organism: Camellia sinensis
Lineage: Eukaryota; Viridiplantae; Streptophyta; Magnoliopsida; Ericales; Theaceae
Source: RefSeq, a predicted model, not a curated record
GAACAAUGACGAAUCAUCUGCGCCCACCGUGAUGGAUGGGUCCUUCACAACCGUCUGAUAUAAGUCGGACGAAAUCAUAGCGCAUCUGAGCUC